GGAGAUUGAAGUUCCAAAUUAUUUCAUUAGUUUCAAGUUCCCUGAAAUUAUUAAAGUCCCAAAUUAUUGUUGAUAUUUUGUUCCAAAUACGUUAGCCUGUAAUAGCAAAUCUGCUAGCGAACAUUAACGUUAGUUCAAAACAUUUUACUACUACUCUUUUAUGGGUUAGAUAUAGGAUUAUAUAGGAUUAUAUAGGUUAGAUAGGAUUAUAUAGGUUAGAUAGGAUUAUAUAUAGGAUUAUAUAGGUUAUAUAGGAUUAUAUAUAGGAUUAUAUAGGUUAGAUAGGAUUAUAUAUAGGAUUAUAUAGGUUAUAUAGGAUUAUAUAGGUUAUAUAUAGGAUUAUAUAGGUUAGAUAGGAUUAUAUAGGAUUAUAUAGGUUAGAUAUAGGAUUAUAUAGGUUAGAUAGGAUUAUAUAGGUU
Molecule: long non-coding RNA, 419 nt
Organism: Dicentrarchus labrax (European seabass)
Lineage: Eukaryota; Metazoa; Chordata; Actinopteri; Moronidae
Exons: 3
Source: RefSeq, a predicted model, not a curated record